Molecule: ribosomal RNA, 301 nt
Filed under: uncultured bacterium
Lineage: Bacteria
Description: partial 16S ribosomal RNA
Rfam family: Bacterial small subunit ribosomal RNA
Source: RNAcentral
CAGUAGCCGCGGUAAUACGAAGGGGGCUAGCGUUGUUCGGAUUUACUGGGCGUAAAGCGCACGUAGGCGGAUCGAUCAGUCAGGGGUGAAAUCCCAGAGCUCAACUCUGGAACUGCCUUUAAUACUGUCGAUCUGGAGUACGGAAGAGGUGAGUGGAAUUCCGAGUGUAGAGGUGAAAUUCGUAGAUAUUCGGAGGAACACCAGUGGCGAAGGCGGCUCACUGGUCCAUUACUGACGCUGAGGUGCGAAAGCGUGGGGAGCAAACAGGAUUAGAUACCCCUGUAGUCCCUGUCUCUUAUAC